Molecule: ribosomal RNA, 1486 nt
Filed under: uncultured bacterium
Lineage: Bacteria
Description: partial 16S ribosomal RNA
Rfam family: Bacterial small subunit ribosomal RNA
Source: RNAcentral
GAGAGUUUGAUCCUGGCUCAGGAUGAACGCUGGCGGCGUGCUUAACACAUGCAAGUCGAACGGGAAAUAUUUCAUUGAGACUUCGGUGGAUUUGAUCUAUUUCUAGUGGCGGACGGGUGAGUAACGCGUGGGUAACCUGCCUUAUACAGGGGGAUAACAGUCAGAAAUGGCUGCUAAUACCGCAUAAGCGCACAGAGCUGCAUGGCUCAGUGUGAAAAACUCCGGUGGUAUAAGAUGGACCCGCGUUGGAUUAGCUUGUUGGCGGGGUAACGGCCCACCAAGGCGACGAUCCAUAGCCGGCCUGAGAGGGUGAACGGCCACAUUGGGACUGAGACACGGCCCAGACUCCUACGGGAGGCAGCAGUGGGGAAUAUUGCACAAUGGGGGAAACCCUGAUGCAGCGACGCCGCGUGAAGGAAGAAGUAUCUCGGUAUGUAAACUUCUAUCAGCAGGGAAGAUAGUGACGGUACCUGACUAAGAAGCCCCGGCUAACUACGUGCCAGCAGCCGCGGUAAUACGUAGGGGGCAAGCGUUAUCCGGAUUUACUGGGUGUAAAGGGAGCGUAGACGGUGUGGCAAGUCUGAUGUGAAAGGCAUGGGCUCAACCUGUGGACUGCAUUGGAAACUGUCAUACUUGAGUGCCGGAGGGGUAAGCGGAAUUCCUAGUGUAGCGGUGAAAUGCGUAGAUAUUAGGAGGAACACCAGUGGCGAAGGCGGCUUACUGGACGGUAACUGACGUUGAGGCUCGAAAGCGUGGGGAGCAAACAGGAUUAGAUACCCUGGUAGUCCACACCGUAAACGAUGAUUACUAGGUGUUGGAGGAUUGACCCCUUCAGUGCCGCAGUUAACACAAUAAGUAAUCCACCUGGGGAGUACGACCGCAAGGUUGAAACUCAAAGGAAUUGACGGGGGCCCGCACAAGCAGUGGAGUAUGUGGUUUAAUUCGACGCAACGCGAAGAACCUUACCAAGUCUUGACAUCCCUUGACGAUGCUGGAAACAGUAUUUCUCUUCGGAGCAAGGAGACAGGUGGUGCAUGGUUGUCGUCAGCUCGUGUCGUGAGAUGUUGGGUUAAGUCCCGCAACGAGCGCAACCCUUAUGGUCAGUUACUACGCAAGAGGACUCUGGCCAGACUGCCGUUGACAAAACGGAGGAAGGUGGGGAUGACGUCAAAUCAUCAUGCCCUUUAUGACUUGGGCUACACACGUACUACAAUGGCGUUAAACAAAGAGAAGCAAGACCGCGGGGUGGAGCAAAACUCAGAAACAACGUCCCAGUUCGGACUGCAGGCUGCAACUCGCCUGCACGAAGUCGGAAUUGCUAGUAAUCGUGGAUCAGCAUGCCACGGUGAAUACGUUCCCGGGCCUUGUACACACCGCCCGUCACACCAUGAGAGCCGGGGGGACCCGAAGUCGGUAGUCUAACCGCAAGGAGGACGCCGCCGAAGGUAAAACUGGUGAUUGGAGUGAAGUCGUAACAAGGUAACCG